GGGGAAUUUUCCGCAAUGGGCGAAAGCCUGACGGAGCAAUACCGCGUGAGGGAAGAAGGCUCUUGGGUCGUAAACCUCUUUUCUCAGGGAAGAACAAAAUGACGGUACCUGAGGAAUAAGCAUCGGCUAACUCCGUGCCAGCAGCCGCGGUAAUACGGAGGAUGCAAGCGUUAUCCGGAAUGAUUGGGCGUAAAGCGUCCGUAGGUGGUUAGGCAAGUCUGCUGUCAAAGCUCGGGGCUUAACUCCGAAUCGGCGGUGGAAACUGCCUGACUUGAGUGCGGUAGGGGUAGAGGGAAUUCCCGGUGUAGCGGUGAAAUGCGUAGAUAUCGGGAAGAACACCGGCGGCGAAGGCGCUCUACUGGGCCGUAACUGACACUGAGGGACGAAAGCUAGGGGAGCGAAAGGGAUUAGAUACCC
This 417-nucleotide ribosomal RNA is filed under the name uncultured cyanobacterium. RNAcentral's name for it is "bacterial SSU rRNA". It matches the Rfam family "Bacterial small subunit ribosomal RNA", at positions 356 to 787 of the family's 1533-position model. Lineage: Bacteria; Bacillati; Cyanobacteriota. The record is from RNAcentral.